Thermoanaerobaculum aquaticum is the source of this 117-nucleotide ribosomal RNA. Lineage: Bacteria; Pseudomonadati; Acidobacteriota; Thermoanaerobaculia; Thermoanaerobaculales; Thermoanaerobaculaceae. The record is from Rfam.
UCCGGUGGCCAUACCGAGGGGGAAACACCCGUUCCCAUUCCGAACACGGAAGUUAAGCCCCUCAGGGCCGAUGGUACUGCGCUGGAAACGGCGUGGGAGAGUAGGUCGCUGCCGGGA